UAAGGAUGGCUAGACCGUCGGUAGGGCGUCCGCCUCCGGCCGGCGGUCGAAGCUAAAGCGCGGACUACGCUUGUAGACGUUCUGUCCGGUGCGUCCGCGGACGCGGGUUCGAUUCCCGCCGCCUCCACUU
This 130-nucleotide transfer-messenger RNA is filed under the name Candidatus Dormiibacterota bacterium. Its description in RNAcentral is "partial transfer-messenger RNA". It matches the Rfam family "transfer-messenger RNA", at positions 236 to 374 of the family's 374-position model. Rfam says of the family: Bacterial tmRNA, also known as 10Sa RNA or SsrA, is named for its dual tRNA and mRNA-like properties. Its role is to liberate the mRNA from a stalled ribosome. Lineage: Bacteria; Bacillati; Candidatus Dormiibacterota. The record is from RNAcentral.